RNAcentral lists this unclassified non-coding RNA (2408 nucleotides) under Lingula anatina. RNAcentral's name for it is "centrosomal protein of 104 kDa, transcript variant X6". The record is from RNAcentral. Lineage: Eukaryota; Metazoa; Brachiopoda; Lingulata; Lingulida; Lingulidae.
GAAAUUUGGCGCAAGCGCAGAAAUGUGUGUACAAAUUUUGGUUUCUAACCAAGCAGAUGUAGGAUUUAUUUAAGCACAGCUGUGGCAUAGGUAAGCCGAGCCAUGCCAGGAAAGCUAGAGUUUCGUGUUGUCCAUGUGUCUGGCCAAGAUGAUGGUUUCAAGGCCACUGAACUGAAUACUCAUUCACCCACCACCAAGGGGUGGCAGUCUUCAAGAUUCUGCCUUUAUCCACAAGACAUGGUUUUACAGUUAGACAAGAAAUCUCGAAUGAGGAAACUUCAGAUUCUUGUUCAUCAGUACAACAUUGCCACAAAGAUAGAGUUUUAUGUUGGAGAUGUUCCAGAAGACACUCCUGUUACACUUCAGAAUGCUAGAUAUACACGCCUGGGGUAUGUCUGCAUGUCAGAUAACGAGAAAACGGGCUUCAAAGCCAGGGAGUUGAAGAGCGUGCACGUGGAUGCUGUCGGCUCCUUUCUUAAACUAGUCAUUCAUAAAAAUCAUGUCAACAAGCACAAUUUAUAUAAUCAGGUUGGCAUCAUAGCGGUGAAUGUGAUAGGAGAUGAGAUCAAAAAUAUUUAUGACCCAAGUAACUUGGAAGGAGAUCCGUACAUAGAUGAUCCCAGAUUGAAGCAGGACCCUGCCUUGGCUGGUUUACUGAAUAAGCCAGAUUAUAUCUCUCCACUGGACGAUCUGGCAUUUGACAUGUACCAGGAUCCUGAAGUGGCACAGAUUAUCAGGAAGCUUGAACGCAAGAAGCAAGAGGCUGUUCUAGAGGAAAGAUAUGACUUUGCCAAGAAGGUGAAGCAGGCAAUAACAGACCUACAAAAGGUGGGAGAAAAGUUAGGUAAGAUGGAAGUAGAAAAACGCCAGGCGGUGGAGAGCGAGGAUUACGACAAAGCCAAGUUAAAGAAGGUGCAGAUGGAUGAAUACAGGCUUCAGGUGUACAAACAGCUUCAACUCCACGAUCUGCUGGAAGUUUCAGGGUCAAAGCAUCCUCAGCCAGUGACCAUUGAACCUGUGAGGCAGCAAACUCCACCCCCAAAAUUGGAGCGACUGGAGAAAACACCAACCCCUCCCCCUCUCCCACCUCCAGAAAGCCGCUCGGGAAAGCUCCCCUAUGAUGAGAGACCUCUUCCAGCUUUAAAAAAAACACAAAGCCCCAGAGAUGUUGAAGACGAGGCUGAAGGAAGUGGCUCGCCCCCGCCAACUGCCAGACAGCCCCCUCCAGCAGAAUCGCCGCCUCCGCCAUUGGAUGAAAGUGGUGGCACUGGCGGAGGAACAGGGGGAGGAAUCACAGAAGGACCAGAAGAAAUGAGUGAAAAAGAUCUCCGCGAGGCCAGCAUUCUUAUUGACGUGUUUGGGCAGCCAUUGGCUGCCAAAGCCUAUUCCAAAACUUGGAGUUUCCGAGAAGAUGCCAUAAAUUCUGUCCAAAAGGAGCUGCGCGACCUACCUACCAGCUCUCCUAAAGAAGAGACCAGAAACAUGCUGCGGGCAGCCAUUUUUCUAGUUCAACGAGGGAUCAAGGAUAAAGUGCAAGCGGUAUUCAAGGCAGCCCUGAGUCUUCUGCGGUUUAUUCUCAAAGAUUUUAUUUCAUUGCACAAACUUGGCAAAUCAGAAACUUCUUAUGCUGUUGAAAAGACGCUUCCAGGCUUAAUACAAAGGAGCGGAGACACAGCUGCUAGAAUCAGGGAUGAAGCCAAAGCAUUUGUUUUAGACAUAGCACAAUACCCAGAUGUCAAGGCUACCCACCUUGUACCCAGUGAGUGUACAAAGCCAUUCAAGCCCUCAGCGGCGCCCCGCCUCUCACUCAGCAAGACAGAGAUAGUAGAGCAGCUUUACCGAGACUUAGGAUUGGAAAACAACGGCCUGACAGUUGACAACUUGAUGAAGUUUUGCGUGGCUGCUCUGCAGCACAAUAAUGGGGAGAUACGCCAUGUGGCCGAACGCAUCAUCAUAGACUUGUACAAGACAGUUGGUGCUCCCGUCAAAGACUUCCUGCCACCAGAUGAUGAUAAAACUAGGAAAAACACUCUCUACAGACAAAUAUUUGAGGCCUUUGAUAAGAUUGAUGGGAAGCCUUCGAAAGAGGAACUGAAGAGACAGAAAGCAGAGGAGGAAAAGAAGAAAGCAGCAGAAAUUGAAGCUCUCCAGGCUCAGUUAGCAGCUUUAAAAGAUCUCUCGAAAAGCAGUGGGGUGUUGAUGAGCAUGAGGCAAUUCCCCUUGAUGUCUGAUGGAAUAGGGAGUUAAUUAAUUAUUCCUGGAGAUAAGGGCUAUCAAGAAGCAUGACUGUAUGAAGAGAUAAGGGAAAGCAUGAUAGGAGAUCGUCUGCCUGCUGAAGACACUGGGAAGGGUGGAACCAAUGUGAAGGAUGACAAAAAGAAGCCAAAGGGGGCGCCACAUGCCAAGCC